UGUGUUGCUCCUGGGAGAGCUGGAAAACAGGCAGGACAGCACCCUACACCGAGGAGAAUUUCAUGGCUAAGGAAGAACCAAUCGUAGCCUCGAGGCAGAAGAGAAGUCGGCAAGAGGAUGACAGGAUGAACCCGGGGGAGCUAUAAGUUGGCAGUCCUGUCAGAUGAGCCUCUCCCCUCACCCAAUCACAGGAGAUUACAACACAAAAGUACAUUAUCCUACACCUCCUCCUCACAUCACCUGAGGCCAUGGUGCCAUGCAGUUGCUCCAAGAGUUGUUCUCUCAGUCCCGCACAUCUUCUCCGUCUGUCUUAAGACUUUUAUGAACGUCUUACUUUGCCUCUCCUCAAACAUCUAAUUGUUGCCUCCUCCUUCUAUCCUGUGCUGACAGCCUCAAUGAGGUAGGUCCAACGGCAGACAUCUGAAAAAUGCACUCGGACAAUUAUUAGAACAGCAUGUCGUCGCAGACACAUUCGGUAGAAAAGGAAAUAACAUCGCAACAUGUGUUUAGAGUUUCAACACUUGGCACUCAAGCAGACAGGAUGAGAUGCGGACGCUUGGAUCGUGUGCGUUUGUGUGAGAGGGAAAGAGAGAGACAACCAUGUAUAUGAAAAACCAAACUAAUUGGAUCACACGUACACUUGGAUAAAAAUGUUGAUGGACUGUUUUUUUUUUCCAUCAAAAUAUUGGGAACCUGUAACAAGUGCGUCAAGAUGUUGGCUCAUGCCUCACUUGCUAAUUCCAUCCAAAACAUCUGUAACCUACAUCAAGUUAAACGAUCCACGCCACACAGAGCCAAUA
Hippocampus comes (tiger tail seahorse) is the source of this 800-nucleotide long non-coding RNA. RefSeq lists it as uncharacterized. NCBI's taxonomy places the organism in Eukaryota, Metazoa, Chordata, Actinopteri, Syngnathiformes, Syngnathidae. The record is from RefSeq and is a predicted model, not a curated record. The transcript has 4 exons.